RNAcentral lists this ribosomal RNA (520 nucleotides) under uncultured bacterium. RNAcentral's name for it is "bacterial SSU rRNA". It matches the Rfam family "Bacterial small subunit ribosomal RNA", at positions 26 to 518 of the family's 1533-position model. The record is from RNAcentral.
AGGACGAACGCUGGCGGCGUGCCUAAUACAUGCAAGUCGAACGGUCUUUCUAUGGAAGCUUGCUCCACUGAGAAGAUAGUGGCGAACGGGUGAGUAACACGUGGGUAACCUGCCCAUAAGAGGGGGGAUAACAUCCGGAAACGGGUGCUAGUACCGCAUAGUUUUCUUGAUCGCAUGAUCGGGAAAGGAAAGACGGCCUUUGUGCUGUCGCUUAUGGAUGGACCCGCGGCGUAUUAGUUAGUUGGUGAGGUAACGGCUCACCAAGACGAUGAUACGUAGCCGACCUGAGAGGGUGAUCGGCCACAUUGGGACUGAGACACGGCCCAAACUCCUACGGGAGGCAGCAGUAGGGAAUCUUCCGCAAUGGACGAAAGUCUGACGGAGCAACGCCGCGUGAGUGAAGAAAAGGUUUUCGGAUCGUAAAACUCUGUUGUCAGAGAAGAACAAGUUGGAGAGUAACUGCUCCAGCCUUGACGGUAUCUGACCAGAAAGCCACGGCUAACUACGUGCCAGCCGCAGC